Molecule: ribosomal RNA, 538 nt
Filed under: Artedius lateralis (smoothhead sculpin)
Lineage: Eukaryota; Metazoa; Chordata; Actinopteri; Perciformes; Cottidae
Description: partial 16S ribosomal RNA
Rfam family: Bacterial large subunit ribosomal RNA
Source: RNAcentral
GCCCUACAGCUAGCCCUCCCCACAAAUCACAACAACCCCACUAUAAAUAACCCCUAAGUACCCCAGUACUUAAAUCAACAAACCAUUUUUCCCCCUCAGUAUAGGAGAUAGAAAAGGGACUAAGGCGCGAUAGAGAAAGUACCGCAAGGGAAUGCUGAAAAAGAAAUGAAACAACCCAGUAAAGCCUAAAAAAGCAGAGCCUCAGCCUCGUACCUUUUGCAUCAUGAUUUAGUAAGUGUACCCCAAGCAAAGAGUACUUUAGUUUGACACCCCGAAACUUGGUGAGCUACUCCAAGGCAGCCUAAUUAAUAGGGCCUACCCGUCUCUGUUGCAAAAGAGUGGGGAGACCUUCGAGUAGAGGUGACAAACCUACCGAACCUAGUUAUAGCUGGUUGCCCAAUAAAUGAAUAGAAGUUCAGCCUCUUGGCUUCUCUUUUCACCCACAGUUUUAACCCUGCUGAUCCCCUAAAGAAACCAAGAGAGUUAGUCAAAGGGGGUACAGCCCCUUUGAAUCAAGACACAACUUUCCCAGGCGGGU